Molecule: ribosomal RNA, 487 nt
Filed under: uncultured bacterium
Lineage: Bacteria
Description: partial 16S ribosomal RNA
Rfam family: Bacterial small subunit ribosomal RNA
Source: RNAcentral
GACGAACGCUGGCGGCGUGCCUAACACAUGCAAGUCGAACGAGGUCCAAGGGAGCUUGCUCCCUGAAGACCUAGUGGCGAACGGGUGAGUAACACGUGAGAAACCUGCCCUCGAGUGGGGAAUAACCCGGGGAAACCCGGGCUAAUACCGCAUACGCUCCUCUGGUCGCAUGGCCGGAGGAGGAAAGUUUUUCGCUCAAGGAGGGUCUCGCGGCCUAUCAGCUUGUUGGCGGGGUAACGGCCCACCAAGGCUACGACGGGUAGCUGGUUUGAGAGAACGAUCAGCCACACUGGGACUGAGACACGGCCCAGACUCCUACGGGAGGCAGCAGUGGGGAAUCUUGCGCAAUGGGCGAAAGCCUGACGCAGCAACGCCGCGUGCGGGAUGACGGCCUUCGGGUUGUAAACCUCUUUCAGUAGGGACGAAGCGCAAGUGACGGUACCUACAGAAGAAGGACCGGCCAACUACGUGCCAGCAGCCGCAGUAA